Molecule: long non-coding RNA, 481 nt
Organism: Panicum virgatum (switchgrass)
Lineage: Eukaryota; Viridiplantae; Streptophyta; Magnoliopsida; Poales; Poaceae
Exons: 3
Source: RefSeq, a predicted model, not a curated record
CCCAACGAUCCAAUCCUGGCUCCGCCCCUGCCCCAGUGGUCAUCGGCUGUCGCUGCACAUGGCUCCAGGCCAAGACUCGAGGCACGCAGCUACGCAUUUGAUGGCCGAGGCACUCACAUCUGAGGAUUGAAGGCACGUACCAGCCGAGUAGUGAGCAGCCACGUCCAUGCCUGGCGAUGCGAAAAUGUAAGAUGCAUCAUUCUCUGGUGCCUCUUGCACUCAUGAUUCGAGUGCCUACUGCAUACACCAUGGCGUCCGCUUGCAAAGUGUUCGACAUAAUGCUCAUGAAGAAACUUAAGCAGCAACAUGAAGAUAGUGGUUGUCUGAUCUGCCCCUAUUGCUAGAUCUAACCACAUCAAGAACAUGGUCCUCUGUCAGGAUCUCCUGAAUCUUGGCAAUAUAUUAUGGUAGAUUGGUAGCGCAAGAAGACAAACAGUGGCUGCACAAGAUGGAGGAGAACACCUGGUAAAACCAAUGCAGG